Molecule: ribosomal RNA, 246 nt
Filed under: uncultured bacterium
Lineage: Bacteria
Description: partial 16S ribosomal RNA
Rfam family: Bacterial small subunit ribosomal RNA
Source: RNAcentral
GCAAGUCGGACGGUAACAGGCGAGUGCUUGCACUUGCGCUGACGAGUGGCGGACGGGUGAGUAAUGCAUAGGAAUCUGUCCUUUCGAGGGGGAUAGCUGUGGGAAACGAGAGGUAAUACCGCAUACAACCUACGGGUUAAAGGUGGCGCAAGCUGUCGCGAAAGGAUGAGCCUAUGUUAGAUUAGCUAGUUGGUGAGGUAAAAGCUCACCAUGGCUACGAUCUAUAGCUGUUCUGAGAGGAAGAUC